CGUCAGUGAGCAUGCGCACAGAUAGCCUGGUGCCAGGGCAGGACACGACACAGGAGAGGCCUUUUUGAUAUUUUUUUGGAAAGAUCAUUGAAACCAUCACAGUGCGGAUAGGAAAAAAGUAGUAUAUAGCUAAAAGGAUAAAGCAUAAGUCACAGAAAGUGCUGCUGAAUUUCUACACAACUGAUUGCUACAUCACGGCAAUAACUAACACAGACCAGGAAUCGAACUGGAAUCUUCACAAUCUUGAUAACUCAACUCACCAGAUAACUGGUUGAGGUAGGAUACAGUCCUUUUUCAAAGAAGGAAGACAAAGAUGGAUACAACUGUCAACAUAUUUUUCAACACUCACAAAACAUCAAUCCUGAUA
Callorhinchus milii (elephant shark) is the source of this 367-nucleotide long non-coding RNA. RefSeq lists it as uncharacterized. The transcript has 3 exons. The record is from RefSeq and is a predicted model, not a curated record. NCBI's taxonomy places the organism in Eukaryota, Metazoa, Chordata, Chondrichthyes, Chimaeriformes, Callorhinchidae.